Long non-coding RNA from Rhopalosiphum maidis (corn leaf aphid), 368 nucleotides. RefSeq lists it as uncharacterized. Lineage: Eukaryota; Metazoa; Arthropoda; Insecta; Hemiptera; Aphididae. The transcript is spliced from 2 exons. The record is from RefSeq and is a predicted model, not a curated record.
UCGUUAUACUAACUAUUAUCUACGUACAUAUAAAUAUAUUUUAUGAUAAUUUCAUUUUAUUUCGCGUGAAUUCGUAAUAAUUUAUGUAAAAUAAUUAUUUUUUUUUAUAAAAAAAAUACCAUUACAUCAACCGUGAGUUUUUGUUACCUACUACAGUUUUGGUAACGGGUAAUACACUAAAGUGUACUGCCUACACAAUGCCACCGACAAGGUACGAUAACAAUAAAUUAAUGUCAAAUAAUACAACGCUUGGACUAUUUAGUCCUAAAAAACUAAAGAAAACAAUGAGGUUCAUACAUCAAUAUAAUGUAACUAAUAAUUUUUAUCUUUGUUGUUAUUAUUAUUAUUAUUAUUGAGUGUACACUUAA